Molecule: transfer RNA, 70 nt
Filed under: uncultured Peptoniphilus sp.
Lineage: Bacteria; Bacillati; Bacillota; Tissierellia; Tissierellales; Peptoniphilaceae
Rfam family: tRNA
About the family: Transfer RNA (tRNA) molecules are approximately 80 nucleotides in length. Their secondary structure includes four short double-helical elements and three loops (D, anti-codon, and T loops).
Source: RNAcentral
AAGUGUAGCUUAGUUAGGCAAAGCAUCGGUCUCCAAAACCGAAGAUCGAAGGUUCAAAUCCUUCCACUUC